Molecule: ribosomal RNA, 393 nt
Filed under: uncultured bacterium
Lineage: Bacteria
Description: partial 16S ribosomal RNA
Rfam family: Bacterial small subunit ribosomal RNA
Source: RNAcentral
AUACGGAAGGUGCGAGCGUUAUCCGGAUUCAUUGGGUUUAAAGGGAGCGUAGGCGGAGCGCCAAGUCAGCUGUGAAAUCCCGCGGCUCAACCGUGGAACUGCAGUUGAAACUGGCGCCCUUGAGUGCACAUGAGGAUGGCGGAAUUCGUGGUGUAGCGGUGAAAUGCUUAGAUAUCACGAAGAACCCCGAUUGCGAAGGCAGCUGUCUGGGGUGCCACUGACGCUGAGGCUCGAAAGUGCGGAUAUCAAACAGGAUUAGAUACCCUGGUAGUCCGCACAGUAGACGAUGGACGCUCGUGUUCGGCGACACACUGCCGGUCACCAAGCGAAAGCGAUAAGUGUCCCACCUGGGGAGUACGCCGGCAACGGUGAAACUCAAAGGAAUUGGCGGGG